UAAAGUGGACAGGGAGGGUUUGUCAGUUUAAAGCAGAUGUCAAGACAAUUUGAUCAAGGCAAUUUUGACAAUAAAAGACUGGUAUGUAGGUAGAUCAUUGAGUUUACACACAUGUACUGUUUUGAUAGGAGUGCAUGGAGGAUGGGUGCAGCUUGGACAUACUGACUAUCGACAACACUUAAUACUUCCUAUGCAAUAAAUGGAAGCAGAAUACAACCUGAUCCACUGUUGCGCAUUAUACUGACAGUGAAGGCAACUUCUGACUGCAAGGGCACUCACUAUAGCUGACCAAAAAUGCUGGAAAUAUACCAGACAAGAGUGAAGAAAAACAACACCGUGAUGGCAGAACAAAGCAGAGGAAAAUUCAACAGCAGCUAAAACUCACCAGGGAAAUGAAUCAGAAAUGGAAUUUUGUGUCUGUAUUUUUUUAGUGGUAUAUUUGCUGAAAAGAUCCCACAAAGAAAUAUUUGUGUUUUUCAUUGCAACUUUGAGUGUCCUUUCAGAAACUGGUGCUUGUCUAAUUAAAGCCAAUCAGCAUAAUUGUUAAAUAAUUAGACAACUACUUGGAAGCUAUCAGUCAUGGUUAUUAUGUUUAGGUCCUGACCUAAUAAGUAGGGUGUUUAUUAUGCAAUAAUUGACAAGUCUCACUUGGAGCUUUGAAAUUGUUUAUUUCUGAAAAUUGUUUAUUGUUUUGUCCACUGGUAAUUAAAACAGGGGCCUUCAUAGAAUGAUUUUGUGUGGUUUUUUGAUGAAACAGCUCUUAUAAUUUUUUGUAAUUCUUGUAUGAAAACCUUCACAAUGCAGUGUACAAGUAAUUAUUGCUACCAUGUUCAAGACGAAAGCCAUUCACGCACAUGCACAAUAAUGUUGGAUUUUGAAUAGGGAAUUGCAAUUGGUAGCAUGGGUACCGUAUUCAAAAAAGCAACCCAUAAGGUCAUCCAUGUACAUUCAUUUGGCCGUUUUGCCCUGUAUUCGACCUGAAGUUUUCAAAUUUUCAGCACUAUCUGAAAAACCACUGCACUGAAACUCCCAUUACCUUUUUUUGGUAGCGUAAUCAUUUUCUAAAGUGAUUUGGGAGCCUAGUCAAUCUGGGUCUGGCACCAGUCAUUAUACAGAUCCUAAUUUCAUGUCAUGCACAUUAUUUUGUUUGGCCUUUUUUGUGGAUAUAUUAAGAUCUCCAGCAUAGCAAUCGGCAGCUAGGCCAAGACAGGACAGUGGGAACUGGGUGCCGGUGGCUUGUCAAGUGUACGUAGACCAAUGAAACUUAUCCAAAGGACCGGGCGGGACGGGUUCGUUUUUAUUAUUGGGUGACUUGUCAGGAACGAAGCAUGAUCAAAUGGCUGCAGAGGUAACUAAGUUGAUAGUGGGGUUUUUUAUCUCCACCAAAAUGGCAGUCAUGGGGUAAAACUGCAGAACCCAUUAUGACCGACAAUCAGUAAUCAGCCAUUAUGCAAACAUCAGCUUUUUCAGUUCAACCAAGUAGUGGGGUUUUCUUGGAGUAUUAAACACUCCCCCAAAUGAAUAAUUUGACAUAGGCUUAAACACGUUUGGAAAAAGUUUCCUUUUUGUUGCAUGUUUUGCAUACUUGGAUGUCUUAGUGAUUUUUCCUAUUACACUAGUCUCACUUUUGGCACUUCGUGAAAAUUGCCCAUGAAAUAAAAUGUUAAACUUUGUUACAUUUCAACGAGCAGGAAAGUAUUUAGGUUCAGUUUUGUUUGCAAAUCCAUACAGCUGUACCAUGCAAAAUUGGGUCACUUCCCGACAUUUUCCCUUGUGUUUAUGAUCUUGAGUAAAGUAAAAUGGCAUAACAACCACUUGGAAA
This is a long non-coding RNA of Acanthaster planci (crown-of-thorns starfish), 1822 nucleotides long. The record is from RefSeq and is a predicted model, not a curated record. NCBI's taxonomy places the organism in Eukaryota, Metazoa, Echinodermata, Asteroidea, Valvatida, Acanthasteridae.